GUCCUGAGAGGGGGGUCCAAGCCCCCAGGGAGGAAGUCAGGCCUCAGUCUCCUUCUCUGUCCCUGCAGAUGGCACAUCUGGAGGAGUCCCCGGCCCUUUCCUCUCAGCCGGGACCAUCGCAGGCAUCGUAGCGGGGGUCCUGGCUGGGCUGGUGCUGACUGCAGUCCUGGGGUGGUUCCUGCUGUGCAGGGACUCUGCAGGGGCCAGAAGCCAGCAGGACCUCAGGGAGCCCCGGCCCCCUGCGUGCCCCCCAGGUCACGGCUGCCCCCACAAUCCCAACUCUAUGGUAAGCCUCUCCCCUCCCCAUCGGGGUCCCAGCUGCACAGACUCGGGACAAGGGGACUGCCUCACAGCCCAGACCCCUGCCCUCCUGACAGGUCAAGGUUAGUCCUCUCUAUCCAGGAGCUGGGCAGAGACCACCACGCCCUGAGCCCACCCUGUGGGAGAAACCUGGAGUCCAGCAUGGGGCAAAGAGUGGGCCUGGGAGCAUCAGCCAGGGGCCCUGGGUCAACAAGUAGGAGGGUGAGACGCAGCAGGAAGGGACGGGGUGCUGUGUUCCAGGCUUGGAGACUAGCCCUUAGGGACAGAGGUGUCAGUCCUGAUGAGAAGUGUUGAAAGCAGAUCCAGGGAACCCACCUGUGGCCAGGUAGAAGCAAUAACCUCAGACUCCAGCCCUAGGCUCACUUCUGCCCCUGCCUGUCCCCUGACGUCUGCUCUCCCCCUCCCAGGUCCCCCUGCACGACUCCAGGGCAGACGUUCCCAUCUAUGAGGUGAGCUGGGUGAUGCCCAGGACCUCCCCACCCCCACCCGGCUGUGCUGAGCAAUUCAGGAAAGUGCAGCAAUGGGGGGACAUGGGUGGGGACCCAGGAGGGAGGGUACUGAGAGCAGAAGCCUCAGAGAAGCCCCCGCUGGGGCCAGAGCCUGGGAGAAGCAGCAACUGGUUCUGAGAAGGUUACAAGAUGUUCAGAGGCCUCUUCUUUCCUUUUUCAGGAACUUCUAAACCGUGACACAAACAUCUACUGUCGGAUCAACCCCAAAGCAGAAGUUACUCAAUACUUUCCCCAAGGAACUUGGGCAGCCAAGGGGAGGGGCCACGUGAGACCACAGAGCCUGGGAAGGAGCUGAGCCUGUGCCCGAUGUUCAGCUGGGUGCUCGGGGAGGGGGCAGGUCCCUCCUGGACUACUGGAGACCUGGAGAGGCCACUCUGAGCUCAGGCUCAGCCGGGACAAAAUCCUCCCAACCCACCCCUCUGGGCCACCCCACAUGGCCUGUGACCUGCCAUGGAUUACUUGGAAAGAAUUUGAAUAAAGAGGACACUUCCU
Molecule: long non-coding RNA, 1322 nt
Filed under: Dasypus novemcinctus (nine-banded armadillo)
Lineage: Eukaryota; Metazoa; Chordata; Mammalia; Cingulata; Dasypodidae
Description: lncRNA (ENSDNOG00000051781.1)
Source: RNAcentral